Molecule: non-coding RNA, 135 nt
Filed under: Halomonas sp.
Lineage: Bacteria; Pseudomonadati; Pseudomonadota; Gammaproteobacteria; Oceanospirillales; Halomonadaceae
Also listed under: 1 other name
Description: TPP sequence
Rfam family: TPP riboswitch aptamer (THI element)
About the family: Vitamin B(1) in its active form thiamin pyrophosphate (TPP) is an essential coenzyme that is synthesised by coupling of pyrimidine and thiazole moieties in bacteria.
Source: RNAcentral
CCACGCUUGACGGGGGGCCGCCAGAGGCGGCUGAGAUCAUGCAGCGCAUGGGACCCGUUGAACCUGAUCUGGGGGUAACCCCGAUGCCAUGGCAUCGCGGUGAGGACCAGCGUAGGGAUCAAGCGCUCACGGCCC